UGCAUUUUGGUGUAUGGAGCACGUGAAUUUUUGAUAUUCUUGGUAGUAGUUUGACUCUACUUUAUGCAA
RNAcentral lists this transfer RNA (69 nucleotides) under Anacanthotermes sp. A MLW-2022a. RNAcentral describes it as "tRNA-Gln". The record is from RNAcentral. Lineage: Eukaryota; Metazoa; Arthropoda; Insecta; Blattodea; Hodotermitidae. RNAcentral also lists the same sequence under 1 other name.